Molecule: ribosomal RNA, 735 nt
Filed under: uncultured bacterium
Lineage: Bacteria
Description: bacterial SSU rRNA
Rfam family: Bacterial small subunit ribosomal RNA
Source: RNAcentral
GACGAACGCUGGCGGCGCGCCUAACACAUGCAAGUCGAACGAGCGAGAGAGAGCUUGCUUUCUCGAGCGAGUGGCGAACGGGUGAGUAACGCGUGAGGAACCUGCCUCAAAGAGGGGGACAACAGUUGGAAACGACUGCUAAUACCGCAUAAGCCCACAGGUCGGCAUCGACCAGAGGGAAAAGGAGCAAUCCGCUUUGAGAUGGCCUCGCGUCCGAUUAGCUAGUUGGUGAGGUAACGGCCCACCAAGGCGACGAUCGGUAGCCGGACUGAGAGGUUGAACGGCCACAUUGGGACUGAGACACGGCCCAGACUCCUACGGGAGGCAGCAGUGGGGAAUAUUGCACAAUGGGGGAAACCCUGAUGCAGCGACGCCGCGUGGAGGAAGAAGGUCUUCGGAUUGUAAACUCCUGUUGUUGAGGAAGAUAAUGACGGUACUCAACAAGGAAGUGACGGCUAACUACGUGCCAGCAGCCGCGGUAAAACGUAGGUCACAAGCGUUGUCCGGAAUUACUGGGUGUAAAGGGAGCGCAGGCGGGAAGACAAGUUGGAAGUGAAAUCUAUGGGCUCAACCCAUAAACUGCUUUCAAAACUGUUUUUCUUGAGUAGUGCAGAGGUAGGCGGAAUUCCCGGUGUAGCGGUGGAAUGCGUAGAUAUCGGGAGGAACACCAGUGGCGAAGGCGGCCUACUGGGCACCAACUGACGCUGAGGCUCGAAAGUGUGGGUAUCAAACAGG